This is a regulatory RNA element of Lachnoclostridium sp. An76, 183 nucleotides long. It matches the Rfam family "Glycine riboswitch aptamer". From Rfam's summary of the family: This family represents the bacterial glycine riboswitch. Glycine riboswitches usually consist of two metabolite-binding aptamers domains with similar structures in tandem. Lineage: Bacteria; Bacillati; Bacillota; Clostridia; Lachnospirales; Lachnospiraceae. The record is from Rfam.
AAGAUAAACUCAGGAGAGUCUUUUCCCCGCAAGUAUCUGCAGGACAGGUCAUACCGGGGGAGAGCGCCGAAGGUGUAAACGGCGUCAGGAAUGGAAGGAGCAGCGGUCCGGGGCAGAGCGGGACGGCUGGGAUCUCCAUGCGGAUGCCGUGAGUCUCUCAGGCAAAAGGAUGGAGGUAUAAAG